Molecule: ribosomal RNA, 450 nt
Filed under: uncultured Glomeromycotina
Lineage: Eukaryota; Fungi; Glomeromycota
Description: SSU rRNA
Rfam family: Eukaryotic small subunit ribosomal RNA
Source: RNAcentral
AGCAGCCGCGGUAAUUCCAGCUCCAAUAGCGUAUAUUAAAGUUGUUGCAGUUAAAAAGCUCGUAGUUGAAUUUCGGGACCAAUAUGUCGGUCGUGCCUCGGUACGUACUGGUGUCAUUGGUUUCUCCCUUCUGAGGAUCCUUGAUGUCAUUAAUUUGGUGUCUUGGGGAAUCAGGACUGUUACCUUGAAAAAAUUAGAGUGUUUAAAGCAGGCAUACGCUUGAAUACAUUAGCAUGGAAUAAUGAAAUAGGACGUUCGAUUCUAUUUUGUUGGUUUCUAGGAUCGACGUAAUGAUUAAUAGGGAUAAUUGGGGGCAUUAGUAUUCAAUUGUCAGAGGUGAAAUUCUUGGAUUUAUUGAAGACUAACUACUGCGAAAGCAUUUGCCAAGGAUGUUUUCAUUAAUCAAGAACGAAAGUUAGGGGAUCGAAGACGAUCAGAUACCGUCGUAGU